Molecule: transfer RNA, 87 nt
Filed under: Rhodospirillaceae bacterium
Lineage: Bacteria; Pseudomonadati; Pseudomonadota; Alphaproteobacteria; Rhodospirillales; Rhodospirillaceae
Description: tRNA-Leu
Rfam family: tRNA
About the family: Transfer RNA (tRNA) molecules are approximately 80 nucleotides in length.
Source: RNAcentral
GCGGACGUGGUGGAAUUGGUAUACACGACAGACUUAAAAUCUGUUGCCUAUAUAGGCUUGCGGGUUCGAGUCCCGCCGUCCGCACCA